This 229-nucleotide ribosomal RNA is filed under the name uncultured bacterium. Its description in RNAcentral is "partial 16S ribosomal RNA". It matches the Rfam family "Bacterial small subunit ribosomal RNA", at positions 523 to 750 of the family's 1533-position model. The record is from RNAcentral.
UAGCGAAGGGGGCUAGCGUUGCUCGGGAAUUACUGGGCGUAAAGGGCGCGUAGGCGGACAGUUAAGUCAGAGGUGAAAGCCCAGGGCUCAACCCUGGAAUUGCCUUUGAUACUGGCUGUCUUGAGUAUGGGAGAGGUGAGUGGAACUCCGAGUGUAGAGGUGAAAUUCGUAGAUAUUCGGAAGAACACCAGUGGCGAAGGCGACUCACUGGCCCAUUACUGACGCUGAG